CAGAGUACAAAGCGCUCUCCUGUCCAGUGGUCUUUUGACUCCAGGCAGACAAGGCUCACCCAUGGACGGAGGCCACAGACAACACUGGAGUCAUUUCUAAAGUGCAUUACUGGAGCAGCAUAGUUGUGUUUCGCAAAUGCACCGAAGUGGAGACUUUUUGGAGAACUUAAAUAGCUUUAGCAUAAUAAGUCAGCUUUCUUAGCGAUCUCUCUUCUUCAGGACGUCUGCUCCCCUACCCCGUAAGCUGUCAGACAAGGACUGUCCGUGAAGACAAAGUUCACUACUGGGUCCGUAGUGGAUGUCCCAGUGCACUGCGUCUAUAAUCACCGUAAACAUUGGCCUAAAGGCUGAGGGUUGAACUGCAGACUCCAAGUCUCUGGGCAAGUCUGGUGAUCGAACUACAACUUGAGAGGCACCUGCCCAUCUGAGGAUGCACACCCAGAAUUCCACGCCAGUGUCAGGAGCGCUGCUUCCUAUGAGAGAGCAUUGGGACUACCCUCUGCCACCACCUCCAUCCUCUGUCGACGACCCCUCCAAUCACCGAGCCUCUGGCGGUGGCUCCCAAGAACAAGAGGGGUGACAAGUUUGGAUGGGGGAAGGCGAGAUGGGGAGAGGAGAAACUCCUACAGGUAAACAGCCAGGAGCAUACCUCGGGUCUUGGGUUCUCUCCUCCCUGCCUGUGUCUUUUACUGCACGACAAGGUAAAGUCUCGGAACCUGAGUUUGUGCAUCUGUAGAGCAGAGUUCAAAGCGCUCAGUUCAAAGAAUUGUGAGAAGUAAACAGUGUUUGCAAGAUUGCUGCUGUCAGGCUGGCGCCACAGCUCACUAGGCUAAUCCUCCGCCUUGCGGUGCCAGCACACCAGGUUCUAGUCCCAGUCGGGGCACCGGAUUCUGUCCCGGUUGCCCCUCUUCCAGGCCAGCUCUCUGCUGUGGCCCGGGAGUUCAGUGGAGGAUGGCCCAAGUGCUUGGGCCCUGCAUCCCAUGGGAGACCAGGAUAAGUACCUGGCUCCUGCCAUCGGAUCAGUGCGGUGCACCCGCCGCGGCGGCCAUUGGAGGGUGAACCAACGGCAAAGGAAGACCUUUCUCUCUGUCUCUCUCUCUCACUGUCCACUCUGCCUGUCAAAAAAAAAAAAAAAAUCACUGCUGUCAUCCCUGUCCAAGCAACUGCGUCUACCCCAGGACCAAACGUCACCACGAAGCUCUGCCCCAAACCUCCUGCCCCUGUGGAGACUGUGGUGUACAGCUGUGCUGGAAGUGGGUGAAGUGCCACGUCCUGGCUGCAUUCUGCUGGGAGCCCGCAGAGAGUGACUUUCUGCUGGAAGUUGGUGUCCCCAGAUGGCAGGGACCGAAGGCACAGCUGCAGAGACAGAACAGCCAGAGGAGCUGGUGCUGCCACUUCAAAAGAAAGACAACCAUUGCCCCAGAAAAUGCGCGUCUGCAAUUUGCAAUCUACAGGAUGAAGGACAGGGGCUUACAAUGCCCUCCUAUAAUGCAAAAAUACAGAUGCUGAAGACCACGGGCUUGAGGUGUUAAGUUUGCACAACUGCAGAUGGGCAGCUGAGAUUUUUCUGAGAUUGGAAUGAAGUCGCUGGGUAUAAGAAAGGGACAAUGCCAACUCUCAUGGCAUAGUAGAGACAAAAAGAGCCAAGGAUGGCAAGUGCCAACUCACUGUCUAUUCCUGGCUCCCACUUUAUUAAAAAGCCCCCCUAUAAUGCUGGGGAGCUUCAGCUGUAAAACUGUAUUCCUUGCAAUAGGAUUGACUGAUAACUUGUAAGCAGAAGUUACUGGGUGGAGUGUAAUAGCCUUUCCUGCAGGUGUUCCAGCAGCCAUCUUAUGUCCAUGAGGCAAUCUUGAGUUUGGAGGACGGAGAAGAGCGGAGCAAGAAGACGGGGUCUGAGACACUGGUGGCACUGUUGCUACUUCCCUCCCCUCUGGACUGCUUGCUUCUGGUCUUGUUUCUAUAUGCUCACAACAGAAAUGCUCAUUUGUUUAAGCGUCUGUUACUUUGGCUCAAAGUUACCACUUAACUGAUAUUCCCAUAGAGCCUAGAUUUCCAUUAUUUUCCUUAUGAGUGAGAUUAAAAUUAGUAUUUGAAUCAUAUUACCUCUGGGGGAGAAAUUACUACACAGGAAUCCUUGUGUUAAAUUAACUGUUAAUGGGCAAGUGUUCGGCCUAGCAGAUAAUACACCCAUCGAGAUAGUCCCAUUCUUUGUGGAUUUGAGUCUUGGCUCUCAGUCUCGAUUCUAGCUUCCUGCUAGUGCAGACUGGGAGACAGCAGCUGAUGGCUCAGACAGUUGGAUCCCUGACACCCAAGCAGGAGGCCUAGAUUGAAUUCCUGGCUCCCUGUUUGGGCCCCACCCAGCCUUGGGUGGUUUGGGGAAUAAAUCAGAGGAUGGGAACUCACUCUUUCUUCCUCUAUCCAUCUCUCUCUAAUAAUAUUCAAUUUAAAAUCUUGCUAAAUAAGACUUACACUAAAAAUCCUAAUUCCAAGUGUGGGUAAAAUCCUUACCUCGUCUUUCCCUCGUCUUUACAAAGAGCACCCUCUAUGAUAGAUGGCCCUGUGUGCUGAGAACAGCAUCUGACAACUGAUUCCAAGACGUCACGAAGCACCGGACAGGCAGGUUUUGCGAGAAUCUUCAUCAGUAGUAACAUGGGAAACGCAGAGUCUCUACAGGUAGUGAUUUCCCUGAGUAACCAAAGAAGAGCAAAGGCAGAAGCUCUCCGCGAUCCAUGAAAAGGAGAAAGAUGAGUAUCUUUCAUUCAAAGCAAGCAUCCCAAAAUUCUUUAAUUAUAAGCUCAAAGGGGCUUUGCGCUCAUCCUGAAUCUUGGUUUCCAGCAGGACGGCAUUUAAGCCUUCCUAAAAAGAUAAGACUCAACCUAUUUUUAGACAUUUCCAAAGAGCAUUCCGCUGUCUGUGCCUUUCUUAGACAGGUGAAGAUUUUCUUCCUUCUAACCUCACCACAGGUGAGCUUUUCCCAUUGCUGACCUCAAGCUUUUGGCAGAGUUUGGUGUGGUUUGCUCCGUGGAGAUGGUGAGCCAUCAGUCUCUUCCAAGUUGCCCUCUAUUGUCCGUCUGUAGGAAAUUAUGACAACCAAUUGGGAUAUUUGUAUUUAAAUCCAUACAGUUGGAGCCAGAUGCUGGCCAAGUGACUCACAGGCAUGGCAAAAACAUCGCCACCCUUCUUUUUGUCACACCGGUCCAGCCUCUGCCAUCGGGCGCAGUGCCAGCCUUUCUCCCUUCUCUCUCUCUCCUGCAAAACUCACGCCACACAUUCUGACACGCACAAUGCAACAAAGGUGGGCAUCAACCGAAGACCACGGUGACGGCAGGUGCUCAGCCCUCACACCUUGGCUCCUGCUGUUCACAUCAGUGGGUCAUGGACCUGGCUCUGGGAACUUGGACACGGUUCCUAAUCUCACUGGGGAAGCAUUUUGUCAUCUAGAAUGGAGACAGUGACAGCGUCUACCUUAUAGGGUUGUGGAAAGGAUGAAUGUGUGCACCGUGUGAGGCUUAGAAUGGCGUCUGCUGCUCUAAUCCUGCUAUAUACUAGGCGUGUUUAAAAAGUUCAUGCAAGAAGCCUACUAUGCAUGGGUUUCAAAUGUUUGUGUAACAGAAACGUCUUACCUUUCAAUUUCAUUUCCCACUAACUUUGCGAAUCCACCUCCUGGUUGUCAGGGAAAAGAGGAGUGAGGGAGGAAAGAGAGACAGAUAAAGGACAAGAAAAAAGACAAGGAAAGGAAGGAAAAGACAGAAGAAAGGGGGAAUGAGUAAAACGGUGAGCAUGAAAAAGAAGAGAGGAAAAGGAGCAGCAAGAAUAACGAAGGAGAUCACACGUUGGCAAAGAGCGCGUCGACAGCCCGAGCUUGCAUCAGCAGCGGAAAGGUGUGGAAAAGGAAAACAAAAAAUGUUGGCUGUGGGAAGAGGGACGCUUGGAGCGGAACGCAGGGGAAGACAAGUUUUUGUGAAAGCUUCAUUUGCGGGCACAGCGCCUGCUUGAAAUCGUGGGGCGUUCACCUGCUCACGGAACCCUAGAUGCUCAGGGCUCCGGUCCGGGUCCCUCCUGCCCCAACCAGUUGUGGGGCAGCCCUGGACUUGGCCCUCGGAUUUGCCCUGCAGGAUGCCUGCGUGCUGUCUCGCUGCUCCAGCGGCCCCGCCAGGAUGCAAGGAUCCUGUCUUCAUUGCGUUCUCCCUAUAUAUUCAUCGUUUGUGAAGUGGCGUUCUGGAACAAAAUUUUACACACACACACACACACACACACUCCCCUCUACAAGGGGCUGGGGUCCUGAAUUUUCAAUUAUUCACUUUAGUGACCUCACCUCCCCCCCCCCGCCCCGCCCUUCCCCCCUUUCACUUUUUGGUGCGUUAAGAAGCAGAGGAAAAAAUGACACAGUGCCGCAGGGAGAAGCCGCUCUUAGGGUUCCAACUUGCCCUCCUCAUCAGAGGGAAUUAAUCAUCUAGCCGCUUGGAAACCGGGGGAAGAGCGGAUCGGGUUUUGAAAUAAAAG
Oryctolagus cuniculus (rabbit) is the source of this 4503-nucleotide long non-coding RNA. RefSeq lists it as uncharacterized. Lineage: Eukaryota; Metazoa; Chordata; Mammalia; Lagomorpha; Leporidae. The record is from RefSeq and is a predicted model, not a curated record.